AUCAAUUAGAACCGGCUCGAAAGAACAACUUGCUUUUCUAAUUUAUAUUCUGUAAACAUAAAAUUUUAAUAAAAAAAUUUAAAAAUAUUUUUAUAAUCAACAAAUAUUUUUUGUUAUUUAAUUUACAGUUUAAAUAAAAUAAAUAAAUAUAAACAUGUCUAGUGCCAAUCCCCCCGUAAAAAAGGUACCUCUACACUUACAGAGCGCCCAAAAUCGUGUUUACAUUAAAAAUGGUCAAGUGGUUAACUACGAUCAAACCUUUAAAGCCGAUGUUUAUGUCGAAGAUGGUAUAAUCAAAUAUGUUGGUCCUGCCUCCGAAUUUAAUAUGCCCGGUGGUGCUCGUGUUAUUGAUGCUGCUGGUAAAUACGUUAUUCCCGGUGGUAUUGAUCCCCACACCCACUUCCAAUUCCCCUUCCAAGGUGCUGUCUCUGUAGAUGAUUUCUAUCAUGGUACCAGAGCUGCCGUAUCUGGUGGUACGACCACAGUCAUCGAUUUUGUUGUACCCGACAAGGGUGAAUCUUUGCUGACCGCCUACAAAAGAUGGCGCAAUUGGGCUGAUGGCAAAGUAUGCUGUGAUUUUGGUUUUCAUGUAGCCGUCACCUGGUGGUCUGAUUCUGUAUCCGAAGAAAUGAAAAUAUUGUGUGAUGAAUAUGGUGUUAAUUCUUUCAAAAUGUUCAUGGCCUAUAAGGGUCUUUAUCAGUUGAACGAUUCGGAUAUGUUGGAUGCUUUGGAACGUAUACGUGCCUUGAAGGCUGUAGCUCAAGUUCAUGCUGAAAAUGGUGAUAUUAUUGCUAAGAAUGUGGGUAGACUUUUGAAGGCUGGUGUCACUGGUCCCGAGGGUCAUGAAUUGUCCAGAAUGGAAGAGGUUGAAGCUGAGGCCGUUCAUCGUGUUUGUAUUUUAGCUCAUCAGGUCGAUUGUCCCCUGUAUGUGGUGCAUGUUAUGAGCAAAUCUGCUGGUAUUGAACUUGCCAGAGCUCGUCAACGUUACAACAAUCGUGGUAUUUAUGGUGAAACCUUGGCUGCUGCUUUGGGUACCAAUGGCACACAUUGCCAACAUGUUUGCUUCCACCAUGCUGCCGCUCACAUUUUGAGUCCUCCCUUGAGAUCUGAUCCCGAAACUCCACAAUUUAUGCUGCGUUUAUUGGCCAAUGACAAUCUCCAAACCACCGGCAGUGACAACUGCACCUUCAAUAAGGAACACAAAGAAUUGGGUAAGGACAACUUUGCCAAUAUUCCCAAUGGUGUCAACGGUGUUGAAGAUCGUAUGUCUGUGAUCUGGCAAAAUGGUGUUCACACUGGUAUUUUAGAUCCCUGUCGUUUUGUUGCCGUUACCAGUACAAAUGCUGCCAAGAUCUUUAAUAUUUUCCCCCAAAAGGGUUAUAUUGGUGUUGGCUCUGAUGCCGAUAUUGUCAUUUGGAAUCCUAAUGCAACUCGCAAAAUUUCCAAGGAUACCCAUCAUCACAAUUGUGAUUUCAACAUCUUCGAGGGUAUGGUAUGUCAUGGUGUACCUGAAAUUGUUAUGGUUCGUGGUCGUGUCUGCGUUGAGGAUGGUAAAGUUAGUGUUGUUGAAGGUUAUGGUCGUUUCUUGGAGACACCCGUACGUCCUCCUUACAUUUAUGAUGUUAUGGAUGGUGUAGGUGAACCCAAAGAAAAGGUUCUUCAAAAGAAUGCCCAUUUAGCUGGUAUGGAGCAGGAAAUUAAAGAGCAAGUUCCCAUCUAUAGAUCUUUGGCUUGUGAAACUCCCUCCGUUGCUGCUUAUGGCUGUGAUCAUAUUAAAGGCUCUUGCAAAAAGCAAGAAGAACCAACUAAAAAUUGUCCCCGCACCUCGAUUAAGGUGCAAAAUCCCCCCGGUGGAAAAUCAUCUGGCUUAUGGUAGACUUACUUCUCAUCCGUAAUCUCACCAUUUUUAUUCCAUAUUUUUAAUGGAAUUUGUAAAGUUUUUUGUUUGGCAUUUUCACGUUCAUAAUUGUUUUACUCACACUAUUACUUAAGUUUUAUUACGUAAUUAUUAUUUGAGAAUAUAAUUGUUACUUA
Molecule: RNA transcript, 2034 nt
Organism: Lucilia cuprina (Australian sheep blowfly)
Lineage: Eukaryota; Metazoa; Arthropoda; Insecta; Diptera; Calliphoridae
Gene name: dihydropyrimidinase-like
Exons: 8
Source: RefSeq, a predicted model, not a curated record